RNAcentral lists this ribosomal RNA (871 nucleotides) under uncultured archaeon. Its description in RNAcentral is "bacterial SSU rRNA". It matches the Rfam family "Archaeal small subunit ribosomal RNA", at positions 4 to 882 of the family's 1478-position model. The record is from RNAcentral.
CUGGUUGAUCCUGCCAGAGGUCACUGCUAUCGGGGUUCGAUUAAGCCAUGCGAGUUGAGAGGGUUUAGACCCUCGGCGGACUGCUCAGUAACACGUGGAUAACCUGCCCUAAGGUGGAGGAUAACCCCGGGAAACUGGGGAUAAUACUCCAUAGACCAGAGUGACUGGAAUGUUUUCUGGUCGAAAGUUCCGGCGCCUUAGGAUGGAUCUGCGGCCGAUUAGGUAGUUGUUGGGGUAACGGCCCAACAAGCCAGUCAUCGGUACGGGUUGUGGGAGCAAGAGCCCGGAGAUGGAAUCUGAGACACGAUUCCAGGCCCUACGGGGCGCAGCAGGCGCGAAAACUUUACAAUACAGGAAACUGUGAUAAGGGAACCCCGAGUGCUCGUACACGCGAGCUGUCCAGGUGUGUAAAAAGCAUCUGAAGAAAGGGCCGGGCAAGACCGGUGCCAGCCGCCGCGGUAAUACCGGCGGCUCGAGUGGUGGCCACUAUUAUUGGGCUUGAAGCGUUCGUAGCUGGACUCUUAAGUCUCCUGGGAAAUCCGCCGGCUCAACCGGCGGGCGUCCAGGAGAUACUGGGAGUCUUGGAACCGGAAGAGGUAAGAGGUACUUCGGGGGUAGGAGUGAAAUCCUGUAAUCCUCGAGGGACCACCUAUGGCGAAGGCAUCUUACCAGGACGGCUCCGACAGUGAGGAACGAAAGCUGGGGGAGCGAACCGGAUUAGAUACCCGGGUAGUCCCAGCCGUAAACGAUGCGCGUUAGGUGUGCUGGUGACCACGAGUCACCAGGGUGCCGAAGGGAAACCGUGAAACGUGCCGCCUGGGAAGUACGGUCGCAAGGCUGAAACUUAAAGGAAUUGGCGGGGGAGCACCAC